AACAGUCUUCAAAGCACCAGACUACAGGUCCAACUUGCAUAGUUUUUCAUAAUGAAUUUAGUCUUUCAAAAAGAUUAAUGCUUGGAUCCAAGUAUGAAGAGAUUCUGAUUUAGUUGUGGUUUGGGCAUUAGGAUACUUCCCAAGAGAUUUUAAUGUCCAGCUAAUGGUCCAUUCCUGUCUUUCCCUCACUUUAUUCUGGUCAUCGUCUUCUUCCCUUCCUGCCAUCCUCAUUGGGCUUUCUCAGAGUCCUCCAGGGUUGGAGCUAUGGACAGAGAGAAGAGAAGACAACAUCUUACCAGGGACAGAGAUAGAGUGCAGCAUGCUGUCUGCUCUAAAGAGCAAGAAAACAAAUGCCAAGCUUUAAUCAGACUGGUGUGGACCGUUGGAACUUUCGGAUCAUUUAGCCCUGCCUAACUAUGUCAUGCAGCUUCUCAUCGGAAUUAUCAACGCCUGCACCUAUGCUCUGCCAUGAAGAGGUUACAAAACACUGAAAAUGAGCAGCAAUUCUAGACUACCUUACCAUUCUUUUUCCACAUUCGUUAAAAAAAAAAAAAAAAAAAAAGUAACAGUUUCAAUCUAAUAUUACAGUGAAACUAGGAAUUAGAAUCCCUAUAGUGUGGAGUCAACCUUUCUCAACAGUCAAGCUUUUUUUCUUUCCCUUUCUUUUAAUUGUAGUUUGAUAACACUGAUAAGCCUAAGGCCAAAACUGAGGAAGAGAACAAAAAUACUAUUAAGAACUUAAAUCCUCUUGAAUCUUUAAAAGCUGCCUUUUAACAAAGAUCUUUGUUUUGAAAAUGCUCAGGUGUUAAUCCUUUUUAACCACAAAUUUUACUCAAUUCUUUGUAAUUAGAUACAAGUUCCCUGAUUUACAUUAAAGCCUGAAACUUCUGGUUCUCCAUUAGAAAUAUAAGGAGAUAUUUUAAAAUAUAAGGCUAUGGAUUUUUUUUGGGGAGGGGGCAUUGUAUUCUAUCCCUAAGAUUUCAUACUUCUUGACUCUCAGAGCAAUAAUUGAAAGUUCCUAUAGGAAUAGAACUUAAAUAUUUUUCCUAGUGCCAAAGAAAAAUUGCAUCGGACAAGAACUGGCAAGGAAGACUUUAUCCAAGACUGGCAAUAGGGGAGACAGGCUGAACUCAACUCCGCUGAAACAGAAAACAGGAGGGUUUUUAAAGUGCUGGGAUAAGCCAGGGGGAAGCACUGGAGGGAGUUAAGGGAAGUCAGCCAAUGUGAUUAAAGAGUCCGUGCUUGCUACUAAGCACUUAUAAAACUCAGGCUCCUUCUCCCCACCCUCCCUCCUCCACCCCAGACUUGAGAUAGGGAUCCUAUCCUUCUUGAAGAUUACAUUUCAAAGCCAUCACCCCUAGGUC
Molecule: long non-coding RNA, 1364 nt
Organism: Vulpes vulpes (red fox)
Lineage: Eukaryota; Metazoa; Chordata; Mammalia; Carnivora; Canidae
Source: Ensembl